RNAcentral lists this ribosomal RNA (59 nucleotides) under Vachellia nilotica (Egyptian acacia). RNAcentral's name for it is "partial 28S ribosomal RNA". The record is from RNAcentral. Lineage: Eukaryota; Viridiplantae; Streptophyta; Magnoliopsida; Fabales; Fabaceae.
GCGACCCCAGGUCAGGCGGGGCUACCCGCUGAGUUUAAGCAUAUCACUAACCCAGACGA